This 403-nucleotide ribosomal RNA is filed under the name Fusobacteriota bacterium. RNAcentral describes it as "Fusobacteria bacterium partial 16S ribosomal RNA". It matches the Rfam family "Bacterial small subunit ribosomal RNA", at positions 355 to 776 of the family's 1533-position model. Lineage: Bacteria; Fusobacteriati; Fusobacteriota. The record is from RNAcentral.
UGGGGAAUAUUGCACAAUGGUGGGAACUCUGAUGCAGCGACGCCGCGUGAGUGAUGAAGGAAUUCGUUUCGUAAAACUCUGUUCUAUGGGAAGAAAAGGACUGUACCAUAGGAGAAAGCUCCGGCUAAAUACGUGCCAGCAGCCGCGGUAAUACGUAUGGAGCGAGCGUUGUCCGGAAUUAUUGGGCGUAAAGGGUGCGCAGGCGGCUUUACAAGUUGGAUGGUAAAUAUUGUGGCUCAACCACAAACGUGCAUCCAAAACUGCAAAGCUUGAGUUAAGUAGAGGUAAGUGGAAUUCCUGGUGUAGCGGUGGAAUGCGUAGAUAUCAGGAGAAAUACCGGUGGCAAGGCGACUUACUGGACUUAAACUAACGCUCAGGCACGAAAGCGUGGGGAGCAAACAGG